GGGCCCGCACAAGCAGCGGAGCGUGUUGCUUAAUUCGAUGCAACGCGAAGAACCUUACCAAGGCUUGACAUAUAGAGGAAAAGUGCAGAAAUGCACUCCCCGCAAGGUCUCUAUACAGGUGGUGCAUGGUUGUCGUCAGCUCGUGUCGUGAGAUGUUGGGUUAAGUCCCGCAACGAGCGCAACCCUCGUCCUAUGUUGCCAGCACGUAAUGGUGGGAACUCAUGGGAUACUGCCGGGGUCAACUCGGAGGAAGGUGGGGAUGACGUCAAAUCAUCAUGCCCCUUAUGUCUUGGGCUUCACGCAUGCUACAAUGGCCGGUACAGAGGGCUGCAAUACCGCAAGGUGGAGCGAAUCCCAAAAAGCCGGUCUCAGUUCGGAUUGAGGUCUGCAACUCGACCUCAUG
Molecule: ribosomal RNA, 403 nt
Filed under: uncultured bacterium
Lineage: Bacteria
Description: bacterial SSU rRNA
Rfam family: Bacterial small subunit ribosomal RNA
Source: RNAcentral